GGGUGCGAUCAUACCAGCACUAAUGCACCGGAUCCCAUCAGAAAUCGCAGUUAAACGUGCUUGGGCGAGAGUAGUACUAGGAUGGGUGAUCUCCUGGGAAGUCCUCAUGUUGCACCCC
RNAcentral lists this ribosomal RNA (118 nucleotides) under Gossypium raimondii (Peruvian cotton). Lineage: Eukaryota; Viridiplantae; Streptophyta; Magnoliopsida; Malvales; Malvaceae. The record is from RNAcentral.